GGGUCAGUAGGUUGGUCGUGCCACCGGUACGUACUGGUCUCACUGAUUCCUCCUUCCUGAAGAGCCGUAAUGCCAUUAAUUUGGUGUUGCGGGGAAACAGGACUGUUACUUUGAAAAAAUUAGAGCGUUUAAAGCAAGCUAACGCUUGAAUACAUUAGCAUGGAAUAAUGAAAUAGGACGAUCGAUCCUAUUUUGUUGGUUUCUAGGAUUGACGUA
This 216-nucleotide ribosomal RNA is filed under the name Glomeromycotina sp. RNAcentral's name for it is "partial small subunit ribosomal RNA". The stretch from base 40 to 216 matches the Rfam family "Eukaryotic small subunit ribosomal RNA", at positions 686 to 864 of the family's 1831-position model. Lineage: Eukaryota; Fungi; Glomeromycota. The record is from RNAcentral.